Long non-coding RNA from Pongo pygmaeus (Bornean orangutan), 372 nucleotides. RefSeq lists it as uncharacterized. Lineage: Eukaryota; Metazoa; Chordata; Mammalia; Primates; Hominidae. The transcript is spliced from 2 exons. The record is from RefSeq and is a predicted model, not a curated record.
CGCUGGCACCGUGGCCGCAGCGACCGGCCUGGGAGCCAGGAGGGCGAGGCGGCUGCACCUUCGGGGCCAGAUUGGAGUUCGAAGAGUGGCGGGGACCCCAGAAGCUCGGGGCCGGGGUGAUGGCUGCAGCCUCGGGAAGGUGCUGUGUUACGGGAGGGAGUGACUGGAAAGUAACAAAGCUGAUUCUUUCUCCCUGGAGUAAGACCGAAGACUGGAUUACUACACGCCUUGACAGGACACUACACCCGUAUAUCUCACGCAUCAUUAAUGCCAUAUGACAUUGCCGUUUUCUUUCUCAGUUCACUGACAAAAGUGGUGGGUUUUCAUUGUCUUCAUUGAUUGUCAAUGCAUUAAUAAAGAAGAUGUGUGGUA